GUGAUUUGGCCGAGAGGCCUUUAUCCAAUCCUCACACCUGUGAACUCGUCGGUGGGCCUAGCCUGCCGGACAUACAAACUAUGUGUAAUGAACGUGAUGUAACACAAUAAAACA
Molecule: unclassified non-coding RNA, 114 nt
Filed under: uncultured Tremellales
Lineage: Eukaryota; Fungi; Basidiomycota; Tremellomycetes; Tremellales
Description: sequence contains ITS1
Source: RNAcentral